RNAcentral lists this ribosomal RNA (210 nucleotides) under Vibrio fluvialis. RNAcentral describes it as "partial 23S ribosomal RNA". It matches the Rfam family "Bacterial large subunit ribosomal RNA", at positions 2067 to 2276 of the family's 2925-position model. The record is from RNAcentral. Lineage: Bacteria; Pseudomonadati; Pseudomonadota; Gammaproteobacteria; Vibrionales; Vibrionaceae.
UACCCGCGGCUAGACGGAAAGACCCCGUGAACCUUUACUACAGCUUGGCACUGAACAUUGAACCUACAUGUGUAGGAUAGGUGGGAGGCUUUGAAGACGUGACGCUAGUUGUGUUGGAGCCGUCCUUGAAAUACCACCCUUGUAUGUUUGAUGUUCUAACUUAGCCCCGUUAUCCGGGGUGAGGACAGUGCCUGGUGGGUAGUUUGACUG